RNAcentral lists this unclassified non-coding RNA (200 nucleotides) under Helicodendron sp. RNAcentral describes it as "partial internal transcribed spacer 2". The record is from RNAcentral. Lineage: Eukaryota; Fungi; Ascomycota; Leotiomycetes; Helotiales; Helotiaceae.
UUAAGUUCAGCGGGUAUCCCUACCUGAUCCGAGGUCAACCAUUAAAAAAUUGGGGGUUGUUGGCAAACAUCCACCGGGACCCUAUAGCGAGAGAAAUUACUACGCUUAGAGCCAGAUGGCGCCGCCACUGAUUUUAAGGGCUGCCAGUAGGCAGGCCCCAACACCAAGCUGAGCUUGAGGGGUUAUAAUGACGCUCGAAC